Microtus oregoni (creeping vole) is the source of this 802-nucleotide long non-coding RNA. RefSeq lists it as uncharacterized. The transcript has 7 exons. Lineage: Eukaryota; Metazoa; Chordata; Mammalia; Rodentia; Cricetidae. The record is from RefSeq and is a predicted model, not a curated record.
CAGCUAAGGGUUGGCGGGGAUUUGUCCUGUGCGCAGGAGAGAAGAAUCUCGGUAUUCUUUAGGCAGUUCCAGAUUCUACCAUAUAUGAGAUUAAAAUCCUUGGGACGCUGUUGAACCACUGCUAUCUAUGAAAUCAUGGAGACUAUACUUGUCAGGCACAGUUACCAGCUUUCUAUCACAAGAGAUUACAUUACAUUUCCUGUCAUUUAUGGAAAUAAAUUCAAACACUGAAUAAUAUUCCAUUGUGUACCACAUUUUCAUUAUCAAAUCAUCAAUUGAUGGAUGUCGUGGCUGUUUCCAUUUCCUGGCUAUUUGACUUGCUUCUAAUGUCAAAAAUAAUGAAAUGCCAGUUCCAAGAUUAUCAUAUGACUGUGCCUUCUGCCACGAUCAGACUUCUGGUCUCGCAUUUGCUCAUUCCGACGAAGAACUUUGCCAUGUUGUGUCCUAUAGAGAGGCCCACAUCUUCAGAAGGAAAUGCAGAAAAACCAGGAAGAAGACAAUCUUGUGAGCUAAAAAGUUCCACCCCAGUAUCUGGAACCAACUAAGAGACAAGCCUCUGGGCAGGCCUGGGAGGGAGUACUGUGGUUAAGUUAACCGAGGUGAGAAGAACCAGCCUCAUCGUGAUGGUGCCAUUCCCUGACCUUGUGUCCUGAACCGCUCAAGAAGGAAAGAGGCAGCUGCACACCCAAGCUCAUCGUAAUCUGCUUCCUGACUGCAGAUGUAACGUGUAGACAAGUUCCUGCCACCCGCAUUCCUGCCACAGGAGACUGUCCCUUCACACUGUUUGCCAAAAUAAAUGCUU